Molecule: transfer RNA, 74 nt
Filed under: Sus scrofa (pig)
Lineage: Eukaryota; Metazoa; Chordata; Mammalia; Artiodactyla; Suidae
Rfam family: tRNA
About the family: Transfer RNA (tRNA) molecules are approximately 80 nucleotides in length. Their secondary structure includes four short double-helical elements and three loops (D, anti-codon, and T loops).
Source: Rfam by way of RNAcentral
UCCCUGGUAGCCUAGUGAAUUAAGGAUCUGGCAUUGUCACUGCUGUGGCUCAGGUUCAAUCCCUGGCCUGGGAA